Molecule: ribosomal RNA, 918 nt
Filed under: Cortinarius infractus
Lineage: Eukaryota; Fungi; Basidiomycota; Agaricomycetes; Agaricales; Cortinariaceae
Description: eukaryotic LSU rRNA
Rfam family: Eukaryotic large subunit ribosomal RNA
Source: RNAcentral
CGGAGGAAAAGAAACUAACAAGGAUUCCCCUAGUAACUGCGAGUGAAGCGGGAAAAGCUCAAAUUUAAAAUCUGGCAGUCUUUGGCUGUCCGAGUUGUAAACUAGAGAAGUGUUAUCCGCGCUGGACCGUGUACAAGUCUCCUGGAAUGGAGCGUCAUAGAGGGUGAGAAUCCCGUCUUUGACACGGACUACCAGGGCUUUGUGAUGCGCUCUCAAAGAGUCGGGUUGUUUGGGAAUGCAGCUCAAAAUGGGUGGUAAAUUCCAUCUAAAGCUAAAUAUUGGCGAGAGACCGAUAGCGAACAAGUACCGUGAGGGAAAGAUGAAAAGAACUUUGGAAAGAGAGUUAAACAGUACGUGAAAUUGCUGAAAGGGAAACGCUUGAAGUCAGUCGCGUUGUCCAGGGAUCAACCUUGCUUUUGCUUGGUGUACUUUCUGGUUGACGGGUCAGCAUCAAUUUUGACUAUUGGAAAAAGAUUAGGGGAAUGUGACAUCUUCGGAUGUGUUAUAGCCCUUGGUUGCAUACAAUGGUUGGGAUUGAGGAACUCAGCACGCCGCAAGGCCGGGUAAUUUUACCACGUUCGUGCUUAGGAUGCUGGCAUAAUGGCUUUAAUCGACCCGUCUUGAAACACGGACCAAGGAGUCUAACAUGCCUGCGAGUGUUUGGGUGGAAAACCCGAGCGCGUAAUGAAAGUGAAAGUUGAGAUCCCUGUCGUGGGGAGCAUCGACGCCCGGACCAGACCUUUUGUGACGGUUCCGCGGUAGAGCAUGUAUGUUGGGACCCGAAAGAUGGUGAACUAUGCCUGAAUAGGGUGAAGCCAGAGGAAACUCUGGUGGAGGCUCGUAGCGAUUCUGACGUGCAAAUCGAUCGUCAAAUUUGGGUAUAGGGGCGAAAGACUAAUCGAACCAUCUAGUAGCUGG